GACGAACGCUGGCGGCGUGCCUAAUACAUGCAAGUCGAACGAGAGCGACCGGUGCUUGCACUGGUCAAUCUAGUGGCGAACGGGUGAGUAACACGUGGGUAACCUGCCCAUCAGAGGGGGAUAACAUUCGGAAACGGAUGCUAAAACCGCAUAGGUCUUCGAACCGCAUGGUUUGAAGAGGAAAAGAGGCGCAAGCUUCUGCUGAUGGAUGGACCCGCGGUGCAUUAGCUAGUUGGUGAGGUAACGGCUCACCAAGGCCGCGAUGCAUAGCCGACCUGAGAGGGUGAUCGGCCACAUUGGAACUGAGACACGGCCCAAACUCCUACGGGAGGCAGCAGUAGGGAAUCUUCCGCAAUGGACGCAAGUCUGACGGAGCAACGCCGCGUGAGUGAAGAAGGUUUUCGGAUCGUAAAACUCUGUUGUUAGAGAGGAAUAAGUGCUAGAGUAACUGUUAGCGCCUUGACGGUAUCUAACCAGAAAGCCACGGCUAACUACGUG
Molecule: ribosomal RNA, 498 nt
Filed under: uncultured bacterium
Lineage: Bacteria
Description: partial 16S ribosomal RNA
Rfam family: Bacterial small subunit ribosomal RNA
Source: RNAcentral